GAUGAACGCUGGCGGCGUGCCUAAUACAUGCAAGUCGAACGCUGGAGAUCUAGCUUGCUAGCUCGAAGGAGUGGCGAACGGGUGAGUAAUACAUAAGCAACCUACCCACGAAGACUGGGAUAAUCUCUGGAAACGGGGACUAAUACCGGAUAGGUAAUCGGAAGGCAUCUUCUGGUUAUUAAAGGUUAAAAACACUGGUGGAUGGGCUUAUGGCGCAUUAGUUAGUUGGUGAGGUAACGGCCCACCAAGACGAUGAUGCGUAGCCGGCCUGAGAGGGUGAACGGCCACAUUGGGACUGAGACACGGCCCAGACUCCUACGGGAGGCAGCAGUAGGGAAUUUUCGGCAAUGGGGGCAACCCUGACCGAGCAACGCCGCGUGAGUGAAGACGGCCUUCGGGUUGUAAAGCUCUGUUGUAAGGGAAGAACGGUAGAUAGAGAAUAUCUAAGUGACGGUACCUUACCAGAAAGCCACGGCUAACUACGU
RNAcentral lists this ribosomal RNA (485 nucleotides) under uncultured bacterium. RNAcentral describes it as "partial 16S ribosomal RNA". It matches the Rfam family "Bacterial small subunit ribosomal RNA", at positions 28 to 506 of the family's 1533-position model. The record is from RNAcentral.